GAUGAAGAACGCAGCGAAAUGCGAGAAGUAAUGUGAAUUGCAGAAUUCAGUGAAUCAUCGAGUCUUUGAACGCACAUUGCGCCCUCUGGUAUUCCGGGGGGCAUGCCUGUUCGAGCGUCAUUACAACCCUCAAGCUUUGCUUGGUAUUGGACAUUGCCAGUUUCUGGCAGGUCUUAAAAUCAGUGGCGGUGCCAUUUGGCUUCAAGCGUAGUAAUUCUUCUCGCUUUGGAGAUCCAAGUGGUUACUUGCCAAUAACCCCCAAUUUUUUCAGGUUGACCUCGGAUCAGGUAGGGAUACCCGCUGAACUUAAGCAUAUCAAUAAGCGGAGGA
This 330-nucleotide unclassified non-coding RNA is filed under the name soil metagenome. RNAcentral's name for it is "partial contains 5.8S ribosomal RNA, internal transcribed spacer 2, and large subunit ribosomal RNA". The stretch from base 1 to 120 matches the Rfam family "5.8S ribosomal RNA", at positions 35 to 154 of the family's 154-position model. The record is from RNAcentral.